GAUGAAGAACGUAGCGAAAUGCGAUACGUAAUGUGAAUUGCAGAAUUCAGUGAAUCAUCGAGUCUUUGAACGCACAUUGCGCCCCCUGGUAUUCCGGGGGGCAUGCCUGUCCGAGCGUCAUUGCUGCCCUCAAGCCCGGCUUGUGUGUUGGGCCCUGCUCCCCCGGGGGCAGGCCCGAAAGGCAGUGGCGGCACCGCGUCCGAUCCUCGAGCGUAUGGGGCUUUGUCACCCGCUCUGUAGGCCCGGCCGGCGCUUGCCGACCCCCAUCAAUCUUUUUUCAGGUUGACCUCGGAUCAGGUAGGGAUACCCGCUGAACUUAAGCAUAUCAAUAAGCGGAGGA
This 340-nucleotide unclassified non-coding RNA is filed under the name soil metagenome. Its description in RNAcentral is "partial contains 5.8S ribosomal RNA, internal transcribed spacer 2, and large subunit ribosomal RNA". The stretch from base 1 to 120 matches the Rfam family "5.8S ribosomal RNA", at positions 35 to 154 of the family's 154-position model. The record is from RNAcentral.